AUGGUUUCAAUCCAGAUGAAUGAAGUACAUGCAGUAGAAGAAAUACUAGGAAGAGAAGAUAAAACUUUGGGAAACAAGAAGGCAAAGGAAAUAGAAUUUUCGUGUCAUGAUGCAUGUGGGACAAAAUCUCAUGCAAGCUGGAUCAAAACUGGGAAAAGGAAAGGUGAAAAGCAUUUUAGAAAAGAAGAUGUACCCAGGCACGUUAAUCUGAGUGAGUCACAAGUGGAUGAUUAUCAAAAUGACCUCCUCUUUCAGGUAUUAAAAUGGUUGUCCAGAAAGUGCAGGGAAAGAGAUUGGAAAUAAAGUAUGGUCAUCAGGAACAAAAACAACUUUUUUUUUCUUGUAAAAAUUAACUAUGAGUUAAGAUCCUGUGUUUGAAUAGGAGUUAAUCACACCUAAUAUUGGCACUUGGAUACUUGGUGAAGCCUCUUUUCUGUGUUGUAAAUCCCAUACAUUAAAGAAAAUGCCCACUGGGAAACAGAAACCAGCCAGAUGUCUAAAACUAAGAUAAGAACAAAAACAGAAGAAAAAAAAAGUACUGGUUCUUCACAAAAUUGAGCAAUUGAACAACUUGAGGAUUGGAGUUAUGGACUUUUUAGUUUUAUUUUCUGUUUCACAAAGAAACUCACCCAUAUAAUGAAUAGCACUGAUUUGACAAAAGUUAAUGAGUGGAGUGGAUAAAAGCUAGAGAUGUCUAUUUUGCAUUACAAAACAUUUUAAUGUUGUUUUUUUUUUCUGAUUUGGAUCAAAACCAAAUUAAACAUUUAAUGUUUCAGAACUUUUCAUUAUAUGAGGAUAUCACAUAGAAGAAAGGCUGAUUUUUUGAAAAUGAAAUUUUCUCCUCUGUGUAUUUUUCAGUUGUGCCUAAAUUUUAUUAUGCCUACAAUAUUUUACACUAUAUAGAAAGAAUCAAAAUAUUAAAUUAAUUUACUGUAUUUACAUAUAGCUUAUUUAAGGACAUCUGCUUUUCAUUGAAUGCUAUUUGAAACAUCCCUGCUAUUGAGAUUUCUGUAUCUUGUGGUACAUUGGAAAAUUUUGUGUAUGAUUAAUCUUUAUGGGUAUAAAGUUUCCAAAAUAACUGAAAAAAGUUUGACAUGAUAGCAUAUGCUUAGAUACUUCAGACUAAACCCUUCUAAAUGUCAAAAAAAUAAUAUUUUGUUGUUUUUUUUUUUACUAUAGACAAAUAAAAAAAUUCCCAUGAGAAAGAUCGCUUAAGUA
RNAcentral lists this long non-coding RNA (1218 nucleotides) under Cyanistes caeruleus (blue tit). Its description in RNAcentral is "lncRNA (ENSCCEG00000008984.1)". The record is from RNAcentral. Lineage: Eukaryota; Metazoa; Chordata; Aves; Passeriformes; Paridae.